This 484-nucleotide ribosomal RNA is filed under the name uncultured bacterium. RNAcentral's name for it is "partial 16S ribosomal RNA". It matches the Rfam family "Bacterial small subunit ribosomal RNA", at positions 29 to 507 of the family's 1533-position model. The record is from RNAcentral.
AUUGAACGCUGGCGGCAUGCUUUACACAUGCAAGUCGAACGGCAGCGCGGGCUUCGGCCUGGCGGCGAGUGGCGAACGGGUGAGUAAUGCAUCGGAACGUGCCCAGUAGUGGGGGAUAGCCCGGCGAAAGCCGGAUUAAUACCGCAUACGACCUGAGGGUGAAAGCGGGGGACCGAAAGGCCUCGCGCUAUUGGAGCGGCCGAUGUCGGAUUAGCUAGUUGGUGGGGUAAAGGCUUACCAAGGCGACGAUCCGUAGCUGGUCUGAGAGGACGACCAGCCAACACGGGAAUUAGGCACGGCCCCGACCCCUUAGGGAGGGAGCAGUGGGGAAUUUUGGACAAAGGGGGGAAACCUGGUCCCAGCCAGCCGGGGGGGGGAAAAAGGCCCUUGGGUUGGAAAACGGUUUUGUUCGGGAAGAAAAUCUUCUGGGUAAUACCCCGGGGGGAUGACGGUACCGGAAGAAUAAGCACCGGCUAACUACGUG